CAAAGUUGCUGCGCUCGAGGAGCCGCCUGGCUGCGGGCGGUGCUUGGGAGAGGGCCCGUCGGUCCAGCCCGGGUGCCCGGCCUCAGCUCUCCGCCGCGCCCCCACCCACACGCCCGGGGCCGCCAAGCCGCCGCGCUCAGGUGAGCACAUGCCACUCACGCUUGUUCGGGACACCUGAGGACACGCACAACCGGCAUCCCGGUGCCCUUUGCUGAUCGCACCACCGCGGCCGCCAAGCCUGGCUGCAGGCUUGAUGCUGAGAGCAGUAGGUGUAGCCCUCGACAGAGGGGUCCCUGCUUCCCGUGGGCUUCCAGGCCGUGCUCAGUGCCUCAUCCCUGCCCUCCCAAGAUCCUGGGAGGUUGUGGACUCCCUGUCACACUUCCUAGCCCUGUUGCUCAUUCUCUCUUAGGUGCCCAGGCUCUGCCAGGGUUUCAGGGCAAUGCCUCCUCCAAAGCCCUCUCUGCCACCAGACACAGCCCCCUGGUGAGCCAGGGAAAUCUCAGGGGAGGCUGGGAGCCAGACCCACCUAAAGGGAGAGUCUCUGGGUGGAGGACCAAUUUGCCCUGAGCCACUCCUGUGCCUCCACCUAUCCCUCCUCCUAAGGACAGAUGACAGGCAAGCCCCAGACCUGGGAGGCAGGACUUGAAUGAGGAGGGUGUGUGUGCCUGACCUUGGGUACAUGACCUUGUGUGCCUGUGUUUGUAAGCACUUGUGUCCAUGGGACUCUGUGGCUUGUCCAGGCCAUUUGGUUGUGUCACUCCCUAUGCCAUGACCCUGUGUGUGCAAGUGAGUACAUUUGUGUGCAUUGUGUGUGUUUCUGGUAACUCUCUGUCCUUCGGUCUGGGUCAUCCUGCCUCUAGAAACUCAGGGAAACAUUCCUUUUCCAAAGUCACUGAUUCCUGUUGCGGUGAAUGUAUGGCCCAGGCUUGGAGGCAGACACAGCACCCCUGGCCUGACUUCCUGAUUUGAGCUGUAGAGAUUGGAUUGGCCAGACCCCCCAGCUUUAGCCACCACACCAAGAGUCUGGCUGUGGUUUCUCCAGCCUCAGUCCAUUGGAGUCUUCCCCUUGGAGUGAGGAAGGGAGUAGAAGCUGAGAUGAGGGUCCUGGGGAGCCUUCAAGGUCAAGGCAACACAGAUAGAACCAGCACUUGCUAAAGCAGGAGUUGAAGAGUAGGGGGAUGGGGCAGGAAGGCAAGAUAAGGAAAGAGGCAGAAGCAGGGUCCUACACUGUCCUGGGAAGGAACCGUGAAGGCCACCAUGGGGACAGACUUGCCAGGAGGCGAUGUUGGGAUUUGCGUUUGGCUGAAGAGUAUAACAUGGUUAGGAUGAGGAAGGGGGUGUUUCCAGCUCAGCUUCUGGAACCUCGUGCCACCUCAGGCAGAGCCAUUAGUCUUAUGGGAUUUGGGUCUUGGUGGGACUGGACCAUCUGCCACAUUUUUAUAUAAACUCCCCCUGCCCAUUCAUCCCACUUCCUAGUCCAAGCCUCCUCCUUCCCAGGACCUAUGCUCCAGCUCCUGUGGCCUCCUCAACCACUGACCCCUUAUCCCUUAUUAGGUGGAGACGUUCUAGAAGUACAAGGUGGUUAGGGCAGUCAUUGCUGGCAGAAGCUGGCCCAGCCCUGUCUGAGGCCUGUUGCCAAGUCGUGCCUGCCUAGGGGCAGAAAACCAGCCUCUGCUAGAAGCAGGAGUCUAGGCUGUCAGGGGCCUCCAGGGAAGAGAAGCGGAGAGGGGCAGUGGGCAGGAGCCUCAACAGAUAAAGCAGGGCCUGGCAGGGCAGAGGAAUGAAGGGUGACCAGGAGCAGAGCACCUGAGCCACUCGGCCCCUAAGCCCUCAGCCCACAGCCUCCCUUAGUCCUUUGUCCCAGCCUCCAACCCGCCUUGGUCAGAAACCUGGUUAACCAAACCCUUAGCACGCCCCAGGCUCUGGAGGACAAAGGGGUGGGCAGGCGGGCUCUGGUCUCCUCCAGCGGAGUCCAGCAGCUCACUGGUACCCUCUGCUGGCCGUGUAGGGAGAGCACGGCUCUGAAGGAGCUAAAGACCAGGUAACCCACCGGCUGCUGGGUUGAGGAGAGGGGAACAGAUGUCUACAGUAGGGGGUACCAAGUGGCAGACUCCAGGAGCCCUCUCGCUCUGUCCUCUGACUGUACUUGGGUUCCUGGAGCAGAGCACUCAGCACUGACUUGUCACCUCCUCUUCCCUCUGCAGCUAAGAGGCUGCAGAUUCCCAAGGAGCCCCUGCCCUGCACUCUGCUUCACGCCUUCACCCCCACCAUGCCUCCUCUUGGCAGAAUGGCAGAGGGUCCCUCUUCCUGCCAGUGGCCAGGGUCCUAGACCCCAUUGCUCCCUGUCCUCAAAGACAACAAACUUGUAUUGAGUUCCUACUGCAUGCCAGGCCCUGUGCUGGGCACCACAGAUAUAGCAACUGACUACUGGCCCCAGCAGCAAGUGUACUGGCGCUAGCCUCACCCAUUGGGAACCUCAAGCCCGUAUCCCUUUCCACAAGCAUCUCUCUUGUGGCUGGGCGUGGUGGCUCACGCCUGUAAUCCCAGCACUUUGGAAGGCCAAGGCAGGCGGAUCACCUAAGGUCAGGAGUUCGAGACCAGCCUGGCCAACAUGGCGAAACCCUGCCUCUACUAAAAAUCCAAAAAUUAGCCAGGUAUGGUGAUGCAUGCCUGUAGUCCCAGCUACUCAUGAGACUGAGGCAGGAGAAUCUCUUGAAUGUGGGAGGCGGAGAUUGCAGUGAGCCGAGAUUGUACUACUCACCGCACCCCAGCCUGCGUGACAGAGCAAGACUCUGUUUCAAAAAAAAAAAAAAAAAAAAAAAAAAAGCAUCUCUCUUGUGUUUUCUCCUACUGUUUUCAGCUGCAUUUCUCUAAAGUUGUCCAUAAUCACCAUCACCACUCUCCCCUCCCAGCCUUUGCCUGGGACCAGCUCCCAAUCGUAACCCCCUAGUCCCCAAAUCCCAUAGACUCAUCUCUGGCUUCAGCUAAUUUGGCCUCUUCAAAGCCUCGGCCCUGCUGACCUCUCUUUCCUGCCCCAAGCCCUGUCUCCCUUGGGUGCCUGCGAAGCCACGGCUGCCGGGUUUCCUCCGACCUCACUGCCUCUCCUUCUCAGCCUCCUUCUCCAGCUUCUCUUCCUUGUGGGUGAAGCUCUGGCUGUAGAGGCCUCACCCUCGGCCCUCCCCACACCAUGAGCUCAUCUUUCUACUCACAUGCUGGCGACCUCCCUGCUUGCUUUCUGGCCAAGCUCUCCCUUUUGACCACAGGCCCACAUGUCCAGCUGCCCCUGGACACUUCCCUUGGACACACAUAGGCCCCUCAGCCUCAGCAUGUCUAAAGCUGGUCCUGGCAGCCAUCGUGCCCCACCACAUCCUCAAUCUUCAUGCCAUGCACUGGCCUCCAAAUCUCUUGCUGUGUCCCAAGCCCUGGGUUGGGUGCAGAUACCUCAUCAUAGCCUUUGUAGUAGUUGUCAUUAUCACCAUUUUACAUUCAAGGGAACUGAGGCUUCCAGAGGUGAAGGGAAUUGCUCAAGCUCUCAAGUUCCACUUGCGUUGGAGUCUUGGACCAGCCCCAAGAUUCAAACUCAGGUGUACCUGAACCCAAAGUCUGGGCUCUUGAGAACUGUGUUAAUACGGGGCUGUGUUGGUCACCUGUGGCAUCUUAGACUUCAUCCUGAGGGCAAAGGAGAGCUUGGAAUGGUUUUGAGCAAAUGAGACCCCCAUCCCAGGUGGACAGGAAAUGGAUCUGGGGAAGAGUGGAGGCUGACUAAAUUAUUAUUAUCACUCUUAAAUUUUAUUAUGAUUAUUACUUUAUUAUUAUUAUUAUUACUUUUAGUUAGAGAUGGAGUCUUGCUCUGUCACCCAGGCUGGAGUACAGUGGCACAAUCACGGCUCACUGCAGCCUUGAACUCCUGGGCUCAGGCGAUCCUGCCAUCUCAGGCCUCCGUAGUAGCUGGGACUACAGGCACUCACCACCACACCUGGCUAUUGUUUUUUAAAUUUUUUGUAGAGACAGGGGUCUCACUAUGUUGCCCAGGCUGGUCUUGAACUGCUGGCUUCAAGUGAUUCUUGAGGCUGGGAGUCUUGUUCCUGCAUCCAGAUGAGGGACGGAGCAGAGGUCUGUUCAAACAAACUGAGCUUGAGGCACCCCUGAACAUGCAAAGGCUGAGCCCCAAGGCAGGUGGAAGCCUGUGGGCUCCAGCAUGUUGCUCCUGUAGCGUGGGAGCCCUGGAGGUUGCCGACUCCCCUCUGAUUACCCUAGGCAUGAACUGAACUCGCCCCUGCCUCCACCAUUUUUCAGAGCUAUCCCAUCUGGGCUGGGCACCUGGAAACCAGGCCCUUCAGUUACGGAACUGAAGGAAACCUCCCCUCCAGUUACCAGAGAGGGAGGCAGUAAGACACAGAAAGCCAGGAGCAUCACUUGUGUUUUCAGCCUGUGUCUGGCACCCUCCUCCGAACUUUUACUGUCUCCAGGAUUAAAGGCAGAUGUUUGGGGAUUAGGGUCCUUGAGUUUGGGAAACAGAGAGAGUAUGUUCUGCAGGGCUUUCUGGACCAGUCCCAGGCGGAAAGCAAGCCUCAGCUGAGAGCAUUUGGAGGGAGAGCUUGACUGACUCUGGAUGAAAUCCUUCUAGGAUCCGUCUUGUAUCCUCCAGUGUGGUUGUGUGUUUGUGGCAUGCCAGUCCUUGUGCUUAGCUUGCUUGGUCUUUAUUUUAUUUACUAUCCUCACGUCAUCACUAUGAAGUAGGUACUAUCAUUAUCCUUAUCCUAUACAUAAGGAUAAGGCUACCGACCUUUUGCUAUUUGCUGCUCGAUUAAAAACAAGUCUCCCAACGACGGAAUUGAGGCAACUUGAUUGUUAAAACUCAUUCCAAACUUGUCUCCUUACAGCUUCCAUCACCCUGAUUCAGGCCUUUUCUUGGCACAACAACUGCAAAAGAUACAAAAAUUAGUUGCUGUUGGCUGGCUGUUUUAAUUUAUUUGCAUAUACAUAAUUCAGCCCCACCCCUGGUGGCUAAUACGCCCCCUGGGGAAGCUGUGGCUGUCUUCUGAUUGCUGGUGGGGAGGACUGUGUGUGUUGUUUUUUUAAAUAAACUGAAACCAGAUGGAGGGGGGUUUUGUUCACAGCCUUGCGUACAAUUUUCUCCAGCGAAUUCCUUGAAAAGUCAACCACCUAUGAGUGGUGCCUCUGCUCCGUGGAGGUCCCUCACCGCUGGUAUGCAAAUAUCGAGCAGGGUUGAUAUUUCUCAAGAAGAAAAAGAGCUUCUUGGCCUGAGGGCUUUCCAGAAUGCGGGGUCAUCUCCUGGUUGCCCCCAGUUUUAGGUCUGUACUUACAGUUAAUGUCCUCGCUCUCCUUCCGCCUUGUGUUGGGAGUGGGCUGGGGCGGGGGAGUCUUGGGCCAGGCUUGAGUCAAAUCACCUAGACCAACCACUUGGUAUAAAAAUGUGAAUUCCAGACCCCCACCUAUACCCCAUUUGCAGCACUGACCUCCGGCACGAGACCCCAACUGUCCAGCUGGGUUGAUUUUUGCAGUCAGCGGAGGGGUUAUUCUCCUAAAGGGGCCCAAGCCACUCCUGCUUCCAUCCUGGGAAGGCCAGAAGCUGGAGGUGGUUAUCGAAAUAUUUUUAACCGCCAGCCAGGUCCAAGGCUUUGUAAUGCCCCGGGAGCCCUCAUUAAGCGAUUCCUUGUUCAGAGAAAUGAGGCGAGUGUACCCACUGGUCACCCUGCCAGAGGUUUAGUAUUUUUUCUUUGGAACGUGAAUUGGGCAUUGUCGUAGUGAAGUGUGACCCAGUCCCCAGGCAAGGGAGAGCACUUCUUUCCCAGCUCUGACCUUCAUUCCUAGCUCAGAACACCUUUCUUUUGGAUUCCAAGCUUUUUCAGAUAAUUGUGUCAGGUUACAUAAGGCUCUGAGAUAUGAACACUCAAAGGAAAUUCCGGUGAGAGCAGGUCUGAGAGGUUCCUGCACAUAAUUUGCUUUAAAGUAUUCGAGGAAAACUUCAGGUGUCUGAGGCCAGCACAUUUUUGAAAUAAAAUAAGAGCAGCCAACAACUUUGCAUGGAUGUGCCAUUCCCCAUAGAAAUGAGCGAGCAAAAAGACAGAUUUCACACUGAAAGGAAAUACCCCUCCCCAGGGAGCCUGUGCAGGGGCGGGAGGGGGCUGGUGGGGGAGAGGCGGGAGUCAGUUGCAAGAGAACAGCUUGGACCAGGCUGCCAUUGAAAUGGAAAUCUUCACCAACCAGGAUCACUUUUUUCCCCCUUUCUGCAUCUUAGGUGACACGUGGUAAACACAAGACUUCAGUUUUCCAAGAAACAUAAAAUAAAAACUGAAUUACUGGC
RNAcentral lists this long non-coding RNA (6328 nucleotides) under Homo sapiens (human). RNAcentral describes it as "non-protein coding lnc-ATP6V0D1-1:2". Lineage: Eukaryota; Metazoa; Chordata; Mammalia; Primates; Hominidae. The record is from RNAcentral.